UAGUUAAACGGCCGCGGUACCCUAACCGUGCAAAGGUAGCACAAUCACUUGUUCUCUAAAUCAGGACUAGUAUGAACGGCCCCACGAGGGCUACACUGUCUCCCCCCUUUAAUCAGUGAAACUGAUCCCCCCGUGAAGAAGCGAGGAUACCCAUAUAAGACGAGAAGACCCCAUGGAACUUUAAACUUGCACCACUGCCUCCAACAUACCAUACCACACCACCCAAGGCAAUCCUGGCUGCCAGUCUUUCGGCUGGGGCGACCGCGGAGAAAAAUAAAACCUCCACGAUGAAAGGAACACUCCUAAUUCCAGAGCCACUGCUCCAAAAAUCAACAAAUUGACACAAAUUGACCCAACCCCCCUUGACCAACGAACCAAGCUACCCUGGGGAUAACAGCGCAAUCUACUUCAAGAGACCCCAUCGACAAGUAGGCUUACGACCUCGAUGUUGGAUCAGGACAUCCUGGUGGUGCAGCCGCUACCAAGGGUUCGUUUGUUCAACGAUUAAAGCCCU
This 514-nucleotide ribosomal RNA is filed under the name Rhombophryne longicrus. RNAcentral's name for it is "partial 16S ribosomal RNA". It matches the Rfam family "Bacterial large subunit ribosomal RNA", at positions 1920 to 2597 of the family's 2925-position model. Lineage: Eukaryota; Metazoa; Chordata; Amphibia; Anura; Microhylidae. The record is from RNAcentral.